GACGAACGCUGGCGGCGUGCUUAACACAUGCAAGUCGAACGGAAAGGCCCUGCUUUUGUGGGGUGCUCGAGUGGCGAACGGGUGAGUAACACGUGAGUAACCUGCCCUUGACUUUGGGAUAACUUCAGGAAACUGGGGCUAAUACCGGAUAGGAGCUGCUGCUGCAUGGUGGGGGUUGGAAAGUUUCGGCGGUUGGGGAUGGACUCGCGGCUUAUGAGCUUGUUGGUGGGGGAGUGGCUUACCCAGGCUUUGACGGGUAGCCGGCCUGAGAGGGUGACCGGCCACAUUGGGCCUGAGAUACGGACCAGACUCCUACGGGAGGCAGCAGGCGCGAAUAUUGCACAAUGGGCGGAAGCCUGAUGCAGAAACGCCGCGUGCGGGAUGACGGCCUUCGGGUUGUGAACCGCUUCCGCCUGUGACGAAGCGGGAGUGACGGUAAUGAGUAAAGAAGCACCGGCUAACUACGUG
RNAcentral lists this ribosomal RNA (468 nucleotides) under uncultured bacterium. RNAcentral's name for it is "partial 16S ribosomal RNA". It matches the Rfam family "Bacterial small subunit ribosomal RNA", at positions 28 to 507 of the family's 1533-position model. The record is from RNAcentral.